RNAcentral lists this long non-coding RNA (2331 nucleotides) under Bemisia tabaci. RNAcentral describes it as "lncRNA ENSASIAIIG007340". The record is from RNAcentral. Lineage: Eukaryota; Metazoa; Arthropoda; Insecta; Hemiptera; Aleyrodidae.
AACACGAUACUUUACAUUAUUUACGUUUCUGGAACCUUGAAAUGAAGUUCAGCGUGGUGUCACGACAGCGCUGCGAUAGCCUUUGAUAGAUAGAGUUUUACAGUGUAGCACCCAAAAAAUAUAUACACAUAAUAAUUGAUGGUCUCGCCUGCCUCAUUCCACGACCUGCUCAGUGUUCAUUGACAUCGCCGCCCGGUGCUGAUAGUUCCAACAUGAGGCAACUUCUGCCCGUUAUCUUAACGCUCUUUGCCCUCCAUCAGUAUGAGGCUGCCGUCCCUGUCGCAGGAGUCUAUGCUCGUGUGCGCCAAAGCAAAACGUUCGUCGACAAGACCAACUUCAUCGGACUGUUCCUUGAUAUGCCUCAUUCUACAAUCCACAUAACAGUGCCUCCUAAAUUCGGAAAGUCAGUGAACCUGGACAUGUUGAGACUUUACUUUGAAAGAAUAGAAUCAGAUUCCACUCCGAUUCCGAUCCGCUUUUUCCGCGGCACGACAUUCCGCCGAAACCCACGCUUUGAGAAACACUGGUGUAAGUAUGAAGUCCUCCACGCGGACUUCAGUCCCUUCAAGAUAGUCCAGGACGUCGAAACUUUUAAUAGAACUGUUGCUGAGGUGGUCUGCCAAAUGGCCGAGAAAUACCGCGGUCAUUUAAUUUUGACCUCUUGCACUCGCAGUGACGGCAAGAAGACUCCCGCUCAAGCACUUCUUGACUUCUAUAAUGAAUAUGAGUUAUCAAUCCUUGACGCAGGGAAACAUCUCAUCAAGGAUAUUUCUUGGUUUUUCGGCGAAAGAGUUAUCGUGCUGAUCGACAACGUUGAUGCAAUCCUCCACAGCUACAUGAUCGGACCAGUGCGAGACAAAGAAAAAAUCCACAAUUAUUUCGGCCAGUUCUUGCGGGGACUAGUUCAGGACUCACCACAGGUUGAGAAAUCCUUAAUGGUAGGGUCUCUGACCCUGGGUGGUGUCUUGUCCACCUUGACGAACGAUACGAAACACCUGUUCGCCUUUGAGAACGGAACCUUCGCCCAGUAUUUCGGAUUCACCGGACAGGAUGUCGACAACCUCCUCGAUACUUUCGAGAUCCGUGAAAAGAACGCCCAACUGCGAAGCUUGUACAUGGGCUACAGGGUGAUAGACUCUCCGAAUCUAACCCUCUACAACCCUCUUUCUAUCACCGAUUUCCUCGAGGAGAGGUGGCAUACGAACAGUUCAAAUUUAUUCAAAGGUCUCGACGGCUGUGAUCGUAUCUUGGAGAAUGGCGUGAUCGGUCGAGAGGUCGAACGCGUGUUGUACAAGGUGAAAAAGAGAAAGGUACACCUCCCUCGCAGAUACACCUUCAGCAACGGGAGACUGGAUGUCCAACACGUGGACCGCCUACACUGCGGCAUGCGCUCCAAGAUCAACCUCCGCAAGCGUGGACGACAUCAACCUUUUCAUGCAGUACCUCUUCGAGCUGGGCUACUUUAGCAUCAUUCACGGUCGAGUUGUGACGUCAGAACUCGACAUGGUGACCACUAUCGAGGACAUUGUCUUGACCACCGCCACCUUGGAGGCUCGCAAAGUGUUGAGGAAGUACUUGACCGCCUCCAACUACUACCAGUUCGUGCUGGGUAAAACCUGGGACCAGCUGAAUGCGUUCGGGGAGUUCCUGCUGGACCUGCCUGGUAAAGAGGUGUUCCACGACCUGACGGUGGCCACGCAUAAGAUCUUCAGCCGGACGUGGGACGAGGUGAGCUGGCCGGUCUCCAUGACGGGGGCCAUGGAGGCGAUCUUCGCGCACAACGCCACCCUGGCCAAGCAGUAUCCUGCCGUCCACUUCGAGCUGGUCGUCGAGGGGGAAGCUGACGGUUUCGAUUGUUCCAACGAGUUGGACGUGUUCCUCGUCACGCGCAAGAGCGUCGGGAUCAUCAUCAAGAACCGGCAGGGGAUCGAGCACAAGUCCGCAUCGAAAACCUUUUACUCAAUGCUGGACCGAGGGUGUGAUGACGUGUACGAACAUAUGCGCCAGAGGAUCCUGGUCAAGACUAAGAUAGCCAUGCUUAUCAAUUUGACCCCGUCACGCCACUGCGAGAUCUUCUACCGCGUGACCGAUCAGAGGCAGGGAGACCCGUUGUGGGGGUUCGCCCAGCACCCGCCCGGGGAGAUCCUCGAAUUUGAGGGGACCAAGAAACCUGACGACGCGACCCCGGUAUGAAGUCCAAGUUCGACCUGGAGACCCAGAAGAUGCGCGAGGAGAUGUCCGUGAACUUAGCACCCCCACCUCCUCAAAAACUAAAAAAUGCAUCGUCAGGAAUUUGCUCACCUUUUGCUCAGGUAAAAAAACAACUUUUUA